RNAcentral lists this ribosomal RNA (253 nucleotides) under uncultured bacterium. RNAcentral describes it as "partial 16S ribosomal RNA". It matches the Rfam family "Bacterial small subunit ribosomal RNA", at positions 524 to 776 of the family's 1533-position model. The record is from RNAcentral.
UACGGAGGGUGCGAGCGUUGUCCGGAAUCAUUGGGCGUAAAGGGCGCGUAGGUGGCUUGUUAAGCGAGCGGUGAAAGCCUGGGGCUCAACCUCGGGUCGGCCGUGCGAACUGGGGGGCUGGAGCACUGUAGAGGCAGGCGGAAUUCCGGGUGUAGCGGUGGAAUGCGUAGAGAUUCGGAAGAACACCGGUGGCGAAGGCGGCCUGCUGGGCAGUUACUGACACUGAGGCGCGACAGCGUGGGGAGCAAACAGG